GGUCAAGUGACUAAGAGCAUGUGGUGGAUGCCUUGGCGAUGAUAGGCGACGAAGGACGUGAUAGCCUGCGAUAAGCUUCGGGGAGCUGGCAAAUGAGCUUUGAUCCGGAGAUUUCCGAAUGGGGAAACCCACCGUAAGGUAUCUGCAGCUGAAUUCAUAGGCUGCAGAGGCGAACCGAGUGAACUGAAACAUCUAAGUACCCGUAGGAAAGGACAUCAACCGAGACUCCGCUAGUAGUGGCGAGCGAAAUCGGAGUAGCCUUCUAGUGAUAGCACGACUGUUAGCAAAACGGGUUGGAAAACUCGGCCAUAGCAGGUGAUAGCCCUGUAUGCGAAAACCGACGUGUGGUACUAGGCUAGAGAAAAGUAGGGCGGGACACGUGAAAUCCUGUCUGAACGUGGGGGGACCACCCUCCAAGCCUAAGUACUCGUCAUGACCGAUAGCGAACUAGUACCGUGAGGGAAAG
Molecule: ribosomal RNA, 466 nt
Filed under: bacterium
Lineage: Bacteria
Description: partial 23S ribosomal RNA
Rfam family: Bacterial large subunit ribosomal RNA
Source: RNAcentral